GGCGCCGCGCGCCUUCCGCCUCUCCCGCCUCAGCGGUACGGUAGGACGCGGCCGCCUCCCCUCCGCCUUGCGGCAGGUGGUGCGUGCCGGCCCUCAGUCCCGGCCUCGCCGCGCUCCCCCCCGUACGGCGCCGCGUUGGUAUGCGCCGGGCCGCAGCAGCGCGGCAAGGCGGGCGCGGCCCCCGGCAUCACCGCGCCGUGGUAGGCGCCUCCGGGGGCGGGCUGCGGGGCCUGUCGGCGUUCUUGCGGCCCUGUCGGGUUUUUCGGCUGUGGAUUCCUCCGUUGUAGCGCUUCCCGCUUCAGCUUUUCCUUCGUGUACGCGCUAGGGCUCUAUUCGUGGGGCUGGAGAACAAAGGGCGGUGCGGAAACGGGCUCGUUUGGGGCUGAUGCCAAAGGGAGAGCCUGGCGGGGCGGCUCAAGGCAGGGCGGCCUGACAAGGGCCUGUCUUCCUCCUUUUUCAAGGAGAGCUAUGGAAAAAAGGGCUGUGAGGGCCCCGUUCCGUGCUGGGAAGGGUUUGGGGGAGCACAGGGAAAGCAGAGGCAAGAACUGCAGAUUGACCUGACAUCAGAGCUUCCUGCAAGUUUAACUGAAACGAGGUGUGAGAUGCAACUCUUGGCUUUUCAGUAGAGUGUUACAGCAUAUAAUGGUGAAUUUCAUCCCUAUACCUUGCUGUAAGAACUUGCAUCCACUAAAAAACAUGGUGUGAAGAAUGGAGUUCAUGCGGAUAAAAACCAUAUGGGUUGUGAUAACUGCCUUUUUACUUGCAUAUCUACAGGUAGCACUGUGCCAGCACUCUGUUUCCUAGUACCUGUACCUUACAUGUGCAGGUGAGCUCAGCGGAACUGUGUGGUUUCUCACAAUCAGUUGUGGAUGUGGCCCUUUGGAUGUUCUACCAAAAAUAAAAAGCACUGCUAAAAGUGUGAUAGCUUCUAAAUGUGGAAGCAUUUCUGCAGCUGUCCUGGCUGUCCUAUUUAACAAGUCUGUUCCGUCUGUAGUAGUCCUGAGUUCCCUUUUGUCCAGGAAUGAAAAUUGCCAAUACCAAUUAUUUCUAAUCUGAAUAACAGAUUAGAAAGCAGGUAUUGCUUUAUUGCAGUGUUUAGUGCAUGAGAGAUGGCUCCUCCCAGCGUGCACACGCACCAUCUGAAAGCACACAUAGAUUUUUGCAUGUUUUAAUUUGCAAAUAUUCUUAGGGGUUCCUCAAAGUGCCCGCCUAUUCCUAGAAUUGCUAUACAUAGUAAAAUCCAGUACUACGUGUACACUGGGUUAAUAUGGGAUUCUUGCAAGGGGAUCUGGAGUGGUUGUGAGGUUCCACUGGGAGGUGCUAUCCAGGCAAAAGGUUGUGUGUUACGUAGGCCAAGUCCCAUACUUAGUCAAGGACUUAUUUACAAAACCACGGAUGUUGACGAAGUUUCUAAUUAGUGCAUCAAUCUUGCUAUGGUGCCUAUAUUGUCAACCCUACAGUGUACCUUCUCAAGGCUGGUGAAAUGUUGAGGCUCUGCUUUUAGGCUCCAGAUGUCCUGCUUAUCUGGGAGAGACAGUCUUCCCUAGACGAAAUACCAGUUUGCUGAAGAGUUUGAAUUCAUUGCUGAAGGCUCUGGACUUGCUGCCUGGUAUCAGUAUGAGGAUUUAUAGGGUUUUUGCAAGAUGGGAUCCCACAAAGAUCACAAGCGAUCAUCUUUGUGACUCUGCAACAAGACUGUACUGCUGCGGUGGUAUUCUUUGAGGGAACCUGAAAUCUGUCGAUAGAAACUGUUUUUAACUCUGCUGCUAGUUUUCAUCAAAUGUAUCUGUGAAGUCAAUGCAUUAUCUCUUAAUAAAGAGCAACACACACACGGAACCUUAAUUUGUUUUGUGAAAUGCACGGAUUAUUUUAAAACCCUGUAAGCAAAAUACACUAUCUCCAGGCUGAAUAAAUGCCUAGUUUCACUGGGCCCAGGUGAGAACAUCUGAUUAAGAGUUCUCAUCUAAACAAGGCAUCAAAUUCCCAACCAGCUCUCCAGUGAGAGCUGAAUAGAUGUGAAGAGAGGAGUGGAGAGUGUGUACCUCCAUCAAAUUUCUGUAGGUAAGCAUUGUCACUGUCAGCUGGUUUUCAUAGGUGUAUUAAGAACAAGUUAAAGAUACAAAGCACGUUUUCAGGUUCUUUGGAAGAUGGACACAAAAGUGUUAUGCAGAUGGUACUUGAACCACAUACCUUGGCUUCUAACCUUCACUGUCUUUUUGAUUGAGUCUUAGGUAUCAUUUUACAAAGACAUACAUUGAAUAUGCUCAAACUGAUGUUAACUUCUAUUGUCACCAAAGGAGGAAAUUUAAAAGCAUGACUAGUAACACAGGAAGAUUGAGUUGUUGAUUUGUAAUGGUGAUUUUGCUUUAAUAUGCACUUCUGCCAUGUUAAAGUUCUCUAAGUUUAAUCGCUGUGCGAUAAGAUGAGGCAGCUUGUGGACAGGAUAUUAAACCUUGAUUUCUAUCGUACCAAACAAUUGCUAUAUCUUUGUCACUUCUUAAAACUAACAUCCUUUCCUAUCAGGUUGACAUGUCCUACUGUGUUAUUUAAGACUUGAUUUAUUACAGUUGAAUUUGUUUUUUAAAUGCAAAAGCAUGUACUUUAAUGACUGUGUUUCAGCCAUCUUCAUGGUGAAUCCGAAGCAAACUUUGUGUCUUGCAAACUGCCCAGCUGACACUUUCCUGGCCAGGUUUCCAUGUAAACAGGGUGAACGCACAGCUGUGUACUGUGUGCCACCAAUCCAAUUGCAGGCAGCACAGUGCUUGGGAGAAGCUGUUACCUGGUGUUCAUCAUGGGAAGGAGUUGUCCCCACCUGUGAAGCCUGGGGUCCUGAUGGAGAAGUUGCUGAUCCUCCUCACCUGUGUCAUCCGAGUGGUUUAGAGGUAAAUAAAAUACAAAGGUCUAUAUCAGAAAAGCAUUGGAAGUUUGGCUUCAUAAUUAAUUAUAGCUAAUACCUCUUGAAGAUGUGGUCAGAGCAGCUAUCAAGAUGCAAAUACUGAUGGUAAGGAAUGCCUGUGUGCAUGGGCAGGCGUGCAGGCUCUGCUGGGGGCUGAGGAAGUGGUGGCUGUCCUUGAACAGUUUUCCUUAUGGAAACUCGUGGUAAAGAGCUACCACCUCGCUCUCAAAACCUUACACGAAGGCAGACGCAGAUGACAUUUGUAGACAAUAUCCUAGAGGCAGCAGAGGUAGGAGUUCUCCUAGAAAUGAAGAAUUUAUCUAAUUGCUCGUUUAAAAAUCUCUUGCAAAGUUGCAUGGUGUGUUUGUCUGACCCACUAACGUUGCAGCUGAUGGUGUGUUCUUGUUAAUCUCUGUGGAGUGUGUGUGGGCACAUCUUUUGCUGAUUACCCUGAUACAUUACAUUUAACCUGGCAGAUUGGUGAGCAAUCUACUGGUCAGUGCCCCCCAGGAAGUCAGCUGUGUUGAUUAGAGGUGUGGUAGAGUUUGCCAUAGGGGCUAGAAGCCUUCAGGGUGAUUCCUGGGGAUUCUUUUUCAGUCCCCCUCCCAGGUGGAAGGAACUGAUGUUGAUCUCAAUUACUGUGGUAAUUAGUUAGUUACUAUGUGCAUAAGGUAGGGAGUAAUUGUUGAAGCCCAACAGCUGAUGUGUAUGGCCAUUAUAAUUGUGUGUGUAUAUAUAUAUAAAUAUGGACUUAGGAGUCAUGAUUAUUGCUGGAAUGUUUUUAUUUUAAAAUCCAGUGCACCCAUUAAACUUGGACAAAGUGCUGUAUGAUUAGAGAAGACACAGGAACCUGAUCCAGCUCAGCCAACCCAAGCAGGUGCCGCAGGGUGAGCCCGUACAGACCUUUUUUUCCUACAUGGGUGUAUUUUUAAGUGUCUUACAGUAUUCUGAUCACAGGAGUAACCUAGUACCCUUUGUGCUUUACUUAUAAUCUUGCUUGAAUUGUGGGAUCGAGGAAAAAUUCUUCAUACGUAUCCACUGCAGUUCUUAGAUUGUGGCUAAGAGAUUAAAAAUGCAAUCAGCUUGUGCCACUUCAGUGCUGUGUGUGUUUAUGUUUUGAAGGAAUGCGUUAUGCACUGCGAUUUCUAUGUUGUUCAGCAUAUUAAAUAAAGGUGUUCUGGUGAGGGAUGUAUUUGGUAUCUGUGAUAUGUUUGCUAAUCAUGUAUUCUUCAGUGCUGGGAAAGCACUGCUUCUCAAGUGCCUGAGGUGUGUUACAAAUAAGGUGAGAUUCAGCCGAUGUUGUAACAGCACUGGAACCGAGCAGGCAGUGCUUUUGUCCUUUCAAGUUCCACACCAACCAGUUCUGUCCCUGCAGGAUGGAGCUGCUGAGCUGCUUGUGGAAUAGCUCGCCAGUCACUAUUUCACAGAAUUCAUACCUUGAUGGUGAAGUGCUAAAUUCACAUCCUAGUGACUCCAGCAGAGCUCAUAUUAAGUCUCCUAAUACAUGAAAAGACCUUGCCUUAUUCAUUUUCCCCCUGUGGUGAAGCGAAACUUACAAAUCUUACAUCUGCUUUCUAGAGUUAAUGGUGUUGCUAAAGUGUCCUGCUCAGUCUGAAGCAGCUUUUUGUCCAAACCAGGUGUGAUUACAUCUUGCAGCAGGAAGGGCUGCCCUUCUGGGCUGAGAGCAAACGCAUUGGCUUCCCCUGGCGCUGCCCAGCAGGGACUGCUAUGGGUUACCUUCUUCAGCCUUAUAACUUACUAUGAUAAUGUGCUGGUUGCAUUUGUAGCAGCAGUUCCUUAUUUCUCUGGCUUAUCUUCCCACAGAAGGACAUAGGAAAAAUGUCCCCUCUUGUGCGGGCGUCUCACCCCCAAUUUUGCAUGCGUUCACCUCUGCAAGCUGUGAUCCUUGCAUCUACUGCCUGCUUUCAUCCCCCAGCAGCUCCCCUCCCUGCCGCUGGUGGGAGUGUUUAGGACAGGAACCCCAGGUCUGGAGUUCUUCAAAACACAAGGUGCUCUAAGGAGGGAGAAGUGGAUUUUGUAUUGCACCUGAGGGUCCCAAGAUACAUUCUGGUUAGAAGUGUUCGUAGCCAAAUGGCUUUGUCAGGCAAGAGCUGCAUGGAACUUCUUCCCUGUUCCAGAGGUAUUCUUUGCAGCUUAUUUCCCCCUCUGACCAACAGUCCCUAUUUUUCACACUUUAGUCUAUGAGAAAUUAAGUUUUCCAGUCAUGUAUUUUGCCUUAUGAAUGAUGAGAUUCUGUAAUAUGCUGGCUGCUGUGCCAUUGUGGCAUCUUGUCAUGAUGAUUGCUUGCACCAUCAGCUAUUGUGGCAAAAGUCAGACUGAGAGCAGCCUGAAUUCAAAAAGCAGGAAGGAAGUAAUGGGAGUGUGGCAACUUUUUAUUUUCCUAUCUAAAGCUGAGAAUGAAUGCAGUGUUAUUUCUUACAGAGUCCUUGUUAAAAUUCAUUCUGGUGACCAGUUACAAAUUUUGAUAAAGCUAAUAAGGGAUUUUACGCUAAAUAUUGGUGUAACCUACACUAUUGUUUUCAUAUGCUUGUUUUGUUUUGUAGGAAUCAUGCCAUCAAACACAGAUCAGUAAUGCUUGUUGCUUGAUCCGACUGCUGUAUAGCUGAUGAAUUCAUGGAUUUAAGACAAAUAAUCCGUAUUUCAUUACUAGCGAGCGCUUGAAAUAAAAAUGUACCCUGCACUAUUGCUUGAAAAACAAAUCCCGAAGUCAUAUGAGAGGAUUAAAGAUGGGGAAAAAAAUCUCUCAAGAGAAAAAUGAGGGGAGUAAUGACAUCUGCUUAGUAGCAUCCAGCCCCUCAGCCGGCAGUCGGACCUCUGGAGUCUUUACACACAGGGAAUGUGUGUGAUGAGUGAGGAGCAGCAGAAUAGCAAACAGACCAGGUUACCUAAAUCUUGAUUUUUCUGGGCUUGAAAGCUUUGAAAACUGUCUGAAAUGCAUUCUAAAGUACACCAAUGAAGCUAAAGAGAGUAUAGGGAUAAAGCUUAAGGGGCAGUAGAGAUACAUCUACUUGGCAAACAACGUUAGCAGUAGGAAGAGCAAUCUUACCAUGCCUGGACAUCUUCCCUGCCUCCUUCACUUCAGAGCACUCAUCAGCAAGAGCUUGGAUGGUUGUUGAGAGGAAAAACAGUGGAAGGCCUUCAAGUUAAUGCCAAGUGUGGUGCAAAAGUCAGGAAAAAGCCCUGAAGGAGUUUUGGGAACAGUUGUGGACGUGUAGGCCGCGCAGUGCCUCCAUGCGUCCUGUCCUUCAGGAAGAUGGGUGAAUUCUUGGAUAACCUUUCCCCAAAGCUGCAUUCUCCUUUAUUUAUAAGCAUUCUAAGUUACAUGCCAUAUUUCACUUCCGAAGGUCAUUUCUCAGGGAAACGUUGCGUUGAGAAGGAAAUGCAUUUGUUGGCAUCCAGGAAGUUGUCCCUUCAGGAUGGUGUUCUACCACGGCAGUAAACAAAACCAUUGGUUGCAAAGACUUCUACACAAGUUAAUGCGGCUCUAUUGAAGAUGUAAGGCUGGAGCACCAGUUUCUCAGCAGCGGGAUGUCACCUAGCCGUGAGCUGGCCUUGCUCUGGUGGGGGAACACCAGGAGACCCACAGUGAGCUCCAUUCUGGUUCUGCUGGAAGGCUGCCUGGUCCUUCUGCCAGGUUUCUGUUCUGCUUAAAUGGCUGGCUAUUAACAUGACUAACCUUUUGGAGUGCCUCAUUUGACUUUAAACGUUUGCUGCUCCUACCCUUUCCUACGGAGACCUUUUUAUAGAGUUGAGCAUUGUCUUAAGCUUAUGGAGUUAACCACGAUUAUGGGAAAGUUCUUGAAGAAUUUUUGAAUUUAAUACUUCUUUUAAAACGUGUGUAAGCAAGUUCAGAGGUGUCAGAUACAAAUGCCCCAGUACGGCAUGAGGACAAGGAGGUGUUGGAGCUAGAGCUGUUUCAUUGCUAGUGCACAGAAACGUGGCAAUGAACCAUUUCCCUGGUGCUUUAGAGCAUUAAAACAGCUGUUGUGGAUCAGAGCGAAGUGGGCAGCAGCUGUGGCAGUGAUCUGCCCGUGAUUAGUGGGCUCAGGCACUUGUGGAGCUGCAGAUGGGCUUUUUGCUCUUAAAGGCACUGUGCUUUUAGGGCUCCCACUUUUGCACCAGUGCACUUCUUGAAGUGCAAAAGGUUUUCCCAGCUGUAAGUCCUCCCAGAAUCACAUAGCAAAGAGCUCUUGGUUUCAGUGUCUGUGCAAAGACAUUGCACAGUCUGCCUGUGUCCUGAUGGGCACAAACAGCACUGAUUGCAUAUUAAAGCCAUUGUCACCAUCACAACCUGGGAGGAGAGCAGAGUGCCAGGAUGCUGCGGGACCCUGAAGAUAAUGUCUUAUAAAUAAACAUCUCAAAUUAGUCUGAAGCCGCAGUGUGCGAUGUAUGGAGCAUUGGAUUCUGACCAUGUUACACAAAGAUUGCUACUAAUGGCUUUUGGCAGCACAGUCACUAAGUCAGAAAGCUGAGAUGAUUGCAGAUUGUCUGCUUCCAUACAGAUCAUACAGCUGCUUGGAAGACAGUGGAGGGAGCGCUUAAUUGAAGUUUGUUCUUGUCAAUGUGCUGAUCAGGUUUUGAUGCAAGGUUCUCUUCUUUUGUGCUUUUUUCGUCCAAUUUUAUUUUAAAUUUGUAUUCUAUGCUAAACAGUAGUGCCAGUGGAACCAUAAGCAUCUGCUACCGAGGAGUUUAAAUUUAGGAUGCGUUGCAGAAAUCUGAAAAUGUUUUCCUGUUUGGUUAAAAAUGUUUUCUGUGUUUUUCCUCUUCAACUGCUGCUCUGGAUGCCAUAAAACAAUGAUCUGAGAGGUUUGCUGUGCGAUGCUGUAAAACAACGAUCCAAAGGGUUUGCUCUGAAAGCAUCUCUUUGUGCCCUGGGCCAGUGACCCUGCUGCUGUGCCUGUAAAUCACGGCAAGCUGGAGGAAUCCUGUUGAUUUCUGAGCUCCUAAUCCCACAAAGCCUGUAAAUGAUGGCUGGCUUAGCUUUGUUUCUGAUAAAACGAGGCUUAUGAGAUGAUGACAUUUGCUGCCUGUUUCUCCUCCAUUCUGUUCCAUGUCACCACCCAAGAGAUCUCUGGAGCCCAUCAGUGCAAGGCUGUGCGCUUAGUGGUACAACACUACUGUCUGCUGGAGACUGAGAAAGGAGCGUGGGUGAAUGUGUGCGAGUGAAUUUGGCUGUGUUAGCGUCCUGAUUCCCUUCUGCAGGAUAUGCUUCCCAUGUUCUGCAGUGUCUGAUGCAGGUGCUGGGUCAGCCCAGGGAUGCUUGCUUCCUGGAGAACACGCACGGACUCUGCUGAUGGAGUUUGUCAUUAACAACCCUGCUGUUCCUUAAGCCAAGCUCCUCGUGCAGCUCAGCUAUGGAUGGAAACGUGGUCUUUCAGCUGUAACCGUUCCACGCCAUCUCCUCCUUUUGGACAAGUUUGAAAUGGCUUCGGCGUUCGCAGAUGAUUCACUGUUUGUGCGUUACGCCGUGUGUGAAAUUGCUGCCUGUGCUUUGCUGGGCAUGCCUAACAUUCACAGGGGAUUUUCGUAGUUUAUUUUUAGCUUUUCCCAAUAAUUCACAGAUUUGGAUUAAAUUUCACUCUAUGGAGCAAUUGAAAGCAGUUGGUUUAUGCUAAAUGUCUGUCACUGAGAACCGUGACCUACAAAAACUCUGCUAUAAUAUCCGAAGCAGCGACUUAUUUACAUCCACGCACAUGCUGGAAGUGCAGUGCUGGGUUGGGAGAUCUGGACAGAGCCUUGGCUUGCAUCAUCACAGCACCCAGCUUGUGCUGCCGCUUUCCUCCAUGGGAAAGGAGAGGGAAAGGCCAAAAAAACUUGAACCAAGUGAACCAAAGGAAAAGCUGAGGAUCGUAGAAUCCUUGAGGCUGGAAAAGACCCCUGAGGUCACAGAGUCCAACCCCAGCCCUUCCCCACCAUGCCCGCUAGCCAUGUCCCAUGGCUUAACACAAGGAAAACACGUGUGAAGUUGACAUUUCAUUGCACUGUUGUCUCCGAGGAGUUUACUUAUGUACUUUCUAAUGGAGGUGGGAAUUUUUUAGUUUAGCUUCUUUGAGUACAUUAGAAGAAAAACACAAGUAGAGGAACCGUCAAGGUGUUUCAGUGGCACCUGGCUAAAGGAAGGCAAAUUGAUCAGCCCCAAACAUGAGGAAAUACGCGUUGGUCGUGGGGCUGCCAACCACCAGCAGCUCUCCUGAGGCCUUGGCUCCUGAUGCAGAACUCCACCUGUUUUCCCCCAUUUCUUAGAAGGGGUUGGGUAGAAGGGACAUCAGGGAUCAUCUGGUUGCCAGCCUCUAAGGACAGCUGCGCUGACGUGGGUGGUUGCCAAAAUGCUUCUCCUGCAGCACAGGGCUGCUCCUUCUGGCAGGUACAGAGCCGGUGCAAUGAUGUCCAUUCACCACGGUAACUGUGAGCGUAAAUUUUAUGGCUGGAAGAGAAAUAACAUACCUGUAGGAUUCUGGCCUUGGGGUGGAGCUGUGUGAGGAACUGAACGAGAAAGCAAAGAUACCUAAAAAUACCUAGUCAAGCAUUUCUCAAAAUAGACUUUUACCUAUCAUGUACUCUUUUUAUUUUUAGGACUUUAAAGUGUUACUUGUUUAGAUUUGCAUUUUUGUAAUUAGCUGCACCACGUGAGAACAAGCAAAUUCUCAAAAGCUGUGAGUAAAACAAGCAGUGCUCUUCCAGCUCUUCAGCGCAGCGCUCUGCAGUUCUGCUGCUUCCUUCAGCCAAUCAAAGCAGGUCUGGGCUGCCCUGUUUUGCCCACGGUGAUGAAUCGUGCGUGCCUAUUUUGAGACGCUUGCUAUUUCAUUUUUUUUUUUUAAGCAUUGAAAAUGCAUUGCAAAAACACCCGGUUUGUCUACUGCAAAAUCUGGAGAAAAAGCAAAAUCUGCGUGAGAGGACGGAGCUCUUGGUGGGAGCGUGCAGCGGUGCUGUGCCCAAUGCUGAGCAACACCAGCGAGCCCUGCUGCUCCCUUCCUGCCAGAAAAUAGACAGCAGUGCCAUAGUGCUGCUUGCAAGCAGGCAUCCUAGUUGAAAAAAUCCCCACGAGUUGACUUCCUUCUACAUUAGCCAAGUGAUUUCUCCUCCUCUGACAUCCAAGUGCUCGCUUUUUAUUUGUGUUCCGCUUGUGCUUCCAUUCAGAUUGUGCAAAGAUCAUGGAAACGGGCUGAAAAAGGCAGGCAGCGAUCAGCACACCUCGGUGCCAUCCAUGGCAACUGUUUUCCUGUUGCAAUUAGUUUGACCUGGGAGACAAUAGGACUGUUUACCACGCUCAGGGAGAUUAACAAGGAAUAACCACCACCUCUUUGAUAAUGCUUCCCACUCUGUGCCUUUCAUGUUUGCUGGAUUAACAUUCAUGCUUUAUCUUUCGGGUUGCAUUAUCUCCCAGAUUUGUAUUUUUCACUGGAUGCUCAUCUUUUACAGUUGGUGGGAUCUGCCUGGGGUCAUUUCCCCAGCAGAGUAUCGUAAGGUGUAUACCCCAGUGUACUUCGUGUGCCUAAGAGAUAAGGCACCGAUCUAUUUCAAGAAGCAUAAGCUGCAUAGGAAACAUAUUAAGCCAAUAGCUUAAUGCAAGGAUUAUAUUCUUUUAAAUAUAGUGUAUUAUAUUUAUGUAUGAUGCAUAUAUUUUUAAAUAGAGCAUAUCCUAGAGUUUACAGUGCCAUGACUUGCUUAAAAGCCACCCUGUUGCUCCAAUAUCUCACACCACAACGGAGGGAUGAUUUCUGGGGCUGGUGCAUGGGACAGCCCUGUGCUAACCCAGUGGCCAAGGGCCCAGCAUGUGCAUGGCCCGGCAGCUCCACCCUGCACUGAGUCUAAAGUGGUUGUAUCGACUGGGAUCUGUCCUUCCAAUGAGGGCUCCUGGGAGCUGCCAUGCCUCGGGCUGAUUUACGGAUCCUUGUUCCUCUUGUGCUGCAGUAAAUCAGCUUUCUUUUGUUCCUGACAACUGAGAUUGCAAGCUAUAAAACCAGUAUUGGCAUUUGCAAAGAACUCAGGAACCUGAGCAACUUUCUCCUCGAUCUUAAUGGAAUUGAUUCCAGGCUUGGAGCGGUCAUAAAGGAAAGGACAGGAACAGCCUCUGUUAAUGCAGUGCUGUUAAUUUCAUUAAGUCUUAAAAUAAAUAUCGCAGAAGCUCCCUGUUUCGUUUGGCAGUGAGCUAUUUGUAACAGACAACUAGCUCUGCAGCCCUUGCAAACUGGGAGGCUUGAUUAAAAGACUCCGUGCCAUCGAAAUGAUGGGAAUGGAUGUUUGCGGGGCUGCUGCGUCCUACCGAGAGCAAUCAGAGUGGCAAGUUGCAGUUCCCAAUUAGCAGACUCAGGAGCAGAGUUUCUCAUUCAUUCCCUGUUGCUGUAAAUACCAGGAGGAAACAAUGGAGAUUUAUUGUUGAGAAAGUUUGUAAUCAGGCUUGGCUGCAGUCUUUGGCAUAAGGAAAGCUACGUCUGCGUCUUUUAAUUUUAUCCCCAUUGUAAAGGCCCUAAAAUUUAAUUCUUUUUAUAAAAUUUGCCGUUAAUCUUAAUGGAAUCCCAUCAGUAGACUCUAAACAAGGAGGAGCUGAAAAGCCACAAGUAGAACAGCACCUGUAUAUUCAGCUGUGUAACAAAACAAACGAUCUGUGGGCCACAGAAGCAAACCAAAAGCAGGCAAUGAAAGGAGCGAGCACUCCUGGCAAUGCGGGCUGUGCUGCCCGCCUCCAGCACAAUAUUCCUGCAGAAGAAGUGGCAAGCCCUGGUGCCAGCACGGCGUCAGGGAUGCAGGCACUGCUGGGCUGCGUGCUUCCGUGUUAGGAAAAGCCCCUUCACCACUUGGGGUGAGUGGCUGUGGGGGGGGACCCUCCUCUCAUCGCUGUGGGCAGCUCUCACACUUCUAAUACAGCCCAGAUUACUCGUCUUCACAAUAAAAUUGCCUUAAGCGCCGAUGAAAGGCGUGGAGGGCUGGAUGUUGGGUCCUGGCAGGAAAGCUUGUUCUCUGUCAAAUCCGGGCAUUAUUUGAAGAUUAUCUACAGCAUAAAACAGAUUCUCCAUCCCUGUGUUUAACAGUUCAUAUACGGAGCGGUUGUGUUGGCUGAGGAGCAGUGCCAUGGUGGUGUGCAUUCGGGGUGGGUAUGAGGAAUGAUUCCUUCCCC
Long non-coding RNA from Numida meleagris (helmeted guineafowl), 12032 nucleotides. RefSeq lists it as uncharacterized. The transcript is spliced from 4 exons. The record is from RefSeq and is a predicted model, not a curated record. Lineage: Eukaryota; Metazoa; Chordata; Aves; Galliformes; Numididae.